Molecule: ribosomal RNA, 529 nt
Filed under: Penicillium sp. WZLA003
Lineage: Eukaryota; Fungi; Ascomycota; Eurotiomycetes; Eurotiales; Aspergillaceae
Description: eukaryotic LSU rRNA
Rfam family: 5.8S ribosomal RNA (bases 144-297)
Source: RNAcentral
GGGGCAUCGAGUGCGGUCUUCGGGGACCACCUCCCACCCGUGUUGCCCGAACCUAUGUUGCCUCGGCGGGCCCCGCGCCCGCCGACGGCCCCCCUGAACGCUGUCUGAAGUUGCAGUCUGAGACCUAUAACGAAAUUAGUUAAAACUUUCAACAACGGAUCUCUUGGUUCCGGCAUCGAUGAAGAACGCAGCGAAAUGCGAUAACUAAUGUGAAUUGCAGAAUUCAGUGAAUCAUCGAGUCUUUGAACGCACAUUGCGCCCUCUGGUAUUCCGGAGGGCAUGCCUGUCCGAGCGUCAUUGCUGCCCUCAAGCCCGGCUUGUGUGUUGGGCCCCGUCCCCCCCGCCGGGGGGACGGGCCCGAAAGGCAGCGGCGGCACCGCGUCCGGUCCUCGAGCGUAUGGGGCUUCGUCACCCGCUCUAGUAGGCCCGGCCGGCGCCAGCCGACCCCCAACCUUUAAUUAUCUCAGGUUGACCUCGGAUCAGGUAGGGAUACCCGCUGAACUUAAGCAUAUCAAAAGGCCGGGAGGAA